Molecule: ribosomal RNA, 1068 nt
Filed under: Triticum aestivum (bread wheat)
Lineage: Eukaryota; Viridiplantae; Streptophyta; Magnoliopsida; Poales; Poaceae
Description: partial small subunit ribosomal RNA
Source: RNAcentral
AUGAUCUGUUUCAACUGUGGGGGUCCGGGUCACUAUGUGGGGAAUUGUGUGAAGCCAAAGGCCUGUUUUAUUUGCCAGCAAAAUCACAACGUUAACAACUGUGCAGCCUGGUCAAAGGUUCAACCCACUGCUGCUUUCUUUGGCAGUGGAGCUCGAGGGCUUGGUUUCUACCAUGUUGAUGUACCCAUAGCUAAUGAGUCGAAGUGGUUGAAUUUCCAAAACUAUGCUGUGGUGAACAUACUAAAAGGAGAUGUGGAUUGCCCCAAGUUGAUGGAACUCUUGACUGCAACAUUUUGCAAAACUAGGCAGUGGCCAUGGCAAAUAUGAGGAUUAUCCAGCAAGACCUUUUUGGUUAGGUUCCCCCCUUGUAAGAAAGUGGAAGAUCUCAUUGAGUUGCCUGGGUUCUCCCUGCCUCAAGAUGUAAAUGUCACCCUGACUGAAUGGAAGGGUGGAUGUGAGCCUUUUGGGGAAUUGAUUGAAGCCUGGGUGCUAAUUGAGGGCAUCCCUCCCAAGUGGUGUACAUGGAAAGUUUUUGCUCAAAUUGCUUCACUCUUUGGGGUGUUAACUGAUGUUGAUUGGAAUGGUAUGUUUAGGAAUUUCUUUGAAAAUGUCAGGAUUAAGAUUGCUUGCAGAGAUCCAACUAAGAUACCAUUUGAGAGGCUGAUUGAGAUGAAGAAGAAACUCUUCCUGCUAGGCUUUACUGUUGAGGGAUUUGAACAAGUGGGUGGAAUAGACUCUGUCAUUGAUAUUGAGGAUGAUGAGGAUGGUGAUGAGGAAGAAGGAAAAGCUGAAGAGGAUCAAACAGAAGAGGGCAGAAAAACUCAUGAAGAACAUAAUUCUGAUGGAUUAGAGGAUGGGGGUUUAGCCAUUGAUGAGCUGGACAAAGCUAACUUCUCAUCCAAACAUGGUUCUGCCAACAAACAUGUAGCACAAGGUUUGGUGUUCUCACCAAUGGAACCUUUCCUUGACUAUGACCAGGAGAACUUUGUCCUGGCAUGUGCUUUAUCUAAAGCUGACAAAAUUACUACAUCUUCUGGUGAAACAACUACUGGUGAAACAAAACAGUGA